AGUUGGUGGAGCGAUUUGUCUGGUUUAUUCCGAUAACGAACGAGACUCUGGCCUACUAAAUAGUGGGCGGAUUCUUUCUGUCCGCAACACUUCUUAGAGGGACAAGCGGUGUUCAGCCGCACGAGAUUGAGCAAUAACAGGU
This 142-nucleotide ribosomal RNA is filed under the name Metazoa environmental sample. RNAcentral's name for it is "partial small subunit ribosomal RNA". It matches the Rfam family "Eukaryotic small subunit ribosomal RNA", at positions 1296 to 1461 of the family's 1831-position model. Lineage: Eukaryota; Metazoa. The record is from RNAcentral.